AACGCUAGCUACAGGCUUAACACAUGCAAGUCGAGGGGAAACGAUAGAGAAAGCUUGCUUUUUCUAGGCGUCGACCGGCGCACGGGUGAGUAACGCGUAUCCAACCUGCCCACCACUUGGGAAUAACCUUGCGAAAGUAAGACUAAUACCCAAUGAUAUCUCUAGAAGACAUCUGAAGGAGAUUAAAGAUUUAUCGGUGAUGGAUGGGGAUGCGUCUGAUUAGCUUGUUGGCGGGGUAACGGCCCACCAAGGCUACGAUCAGUAGGGGUUCUGAGAGGAAGGUCCCCCACAUUGGAACUGAGACACGGUCCAAACUCCUACGGGAGGCAGCAGUGAGGAAUAUUGGUCAAUGGGCGAGAGCCUGAACCAGCCAAGUAGCGUGCAGGAUGACGGCCCUAUGGGUUGUAAACUGCUUUUAUAAGGGAAUAAAGUGAGCCUCGUGAGGCUUUUUGCAUGUACCUUAUGAAUAAGGACCGGCUAAUUCCGUGCCAGCAGCCGCGGUAAUACGGAAGGUCCGGGCGUUAUCCGGAUUUAUUGGGUUUAAAGGGAGCGUAGGCCGGAGAUUAAGCGUGUUGUGAAAUGUAGAUGCUCAACAUCUGCACUGCAGCGCGAACUGGUUUCCUUGAGUACGCACAAAGUGGGCGGAAUUCGUGGUGUAGCGGUGAAAUGCUUAGAUAUCACGAAGAACUCCGAUUG
This 696-nucleotide ribosomal RNA is filed under the name uncultured bacterium. RNAcentral describes it as "bacterial SSU rRNA". It matches the Rfam family "Bacterial small subunit ribosomal RNA", at positions 32 to 715 of the family's 1533-position model. The record is from RNAcentral.